CUCAGGGCUCCUAGCUCCAGGGCGCCAGGGUGUGCUAGGCUGGGCCAGGGGGUGCGUCCUAGAGCAGUGGGAGGCUCACCUACUCCCCGCCCCAGCCCCUCAGCCCCGUCCUCUCUCCUCCGGUCUGCACUGGGCCAUGAUACUCGUCCGAUUUGGAAGUUUCGAGCUCACUCCGCUGCCCCGGGCCCAGGGGGCUACGCUGGGGGUGAUUUGGAGGGGAUAGAGGGGUCUGAGGCAGGGGGCGCAUGGAUUGGCCGCAACGCCCUCUCUCGCCUCUGACUGGCCUGAGAGCCUACCAACAGUCCUCCCUCGGGAGCUAGGGCCCCCUCCGGCCCCACAUCAGCAGUGGGCCAGGGAGGGAGGGAGAGAGGGUAGGAAGGAAGGAAGGAAGGAGGGAGAGAAGGAAGGAGGGAAGGAAGAAGGCUGCCUUACACUGCCCAGCCUCUUCUGGCCGGGGGCGGAUGGCUGGCUCUCCGGGGAUGGAAUCGCGAGCAGGCAGCAUCCGCUGGCAAUUUUCUCCUCUAGGCUCCCGCUGGAAGGAAGGUCCUGCGCCCAGAGACCGGCAGCCCUCCCUCUCGCCUUCUCUGUCCUGGGCUCCUCUCGCAACCCCCGGGCCCAGGGGCCGGCUCGGGCUGGGCGAUCACCGAGCCAGGGGAGGAGGCGCCGGCGGCGGCGGGGGAGCCGAGGAGCGGCCGCCUCGCCGGGGUCCCAUGUGCCCGGGGCUCCGAGGGGGUGCCGGAGCCCGUCCGUCCCGCACAGCAGCGUCCGCUUCUCCCUCCCCGGCUCAGGCCGCUACUGAUCUAUCUCCGGGCGGUGGAUUCUUGUAGCCCUUCCAAGACGCCUGGGGAUCCCUCCUCCUCUUCCUUUUCUCGCCCCCACCCCCACCCCUUUUCGCGCCCGGCAACUUGGGAACCGUUCGCAAAGUUGGUGCUCCGAGAUGGGCUCUGCAGGAGCCGAGGCGUCCGCGGCACAGAAAGGAGGAGAGCAGAGAAGGGAAGGACUUUCCCAGACCCGUGGCCCCUCCGCCCAACGCCUGCCCUCACCCUACUCCCGCGCCCUGCGCCCUAGCUCCCACCCCCACCCCCGCCUCCGGGGAGCAAAGAACGAACAAGGACCCCUGUGUGCGCCUUUGUUCCCUGCGCGCCUCCCUGGCCGGCCUGCCCUGCACCCCCCUCUUUGGGCUGCCUCUCUGAAGCCUCUCCCUGUUCCUCCCCGCCCCUCAACUGCACAUCCUGCUCCUUCGAUGGGUACUGGGGAUCCUUACGACCAAGGAAAAAGCCUCUUUUCCAUUGACUGCCAGGCAGCAGCGAGAGAGGAUCUUCUCCCUUCAGACCAAGUCUGAGUGGCAAGGGUGACCUGGCAGCUGAGCCUCACCGCAAUGUUGCCCAGGAAUGACAUCAGAAAAGAAGCAAAGGGUAUGGGUUUCUAUGGUAACCAGAAUGCCCUGGGCUGCUUAAAAAAAAAUAAUAAAAUAAAAUAAGCCAU
This 1485-nucleotide long non-coding RNA is filed under the name Vombatus ursinus (common wombat). Its description in RNAcentral is "lncRNA (ENSVURG00010012582.1)". Lineage: Eukaryota; Metazoa; Chordata; Mammalia; Diprotodontia; Vombatidae. The record is from RNAcentral.